CCUUGUAGUAUGUACUCCUUGCUGAACAAUUAAUGCUUCACUAUUGACUCCGUUGAGUAUUUGAUUUAAGGAGAAUAAUAUUGAUGAGCGGGCAUGGGGAUUCAACAGGAGUUCGUUCACGGGGCGGAGCCAUCGGAUGUCAAUGGGUGACAAUGGUGAUGCAAUCGGAUGAUGGGGAUGAGGAUUUCUUGCAAGAAUGCCCUGUGAAAGAUAUUGAGGGCAUAUCAAUGCUCCUUUGUACAUUGUCGCAGUGGUGUUAAUGAAUGGGCAGUGGUGGUGGAGAUGAUUAAGUGCCAUUGAGAUCAAGAUCGAGAUAGAUUGAGAUAGAAACAGGGAGAUGAAUGGCGGCGAACGAAUCAGCUGUCGGAGAUAUUGAGAUAGAUUGAGAUAGAAACAGGGAGAUUAAUGGCUGCGAACGAAUCAGCUGUCGGAGAUUAAUCUUCAGAAUAUCGUCCGGAUGCAUGACGUUAUUGAGAUUGAGGCAUAUCAAUGCUCCUUUGGACAUUGUUGCAGUGGUGUUAUUGAAUGGGCAUUGGUGGUGGAGAUGAAAAGUGCCAUUGAGAUGAAGAUCGAGAUAGAAACAGGGAGAUUCAUGACGGCAAACGAAUAAGCAGUUGGAGAUUAAUCAUCAGAAUAUCGUCUGGAUGCAUGUUGUUAUUAAGGUGAGUUCAGAUGGGCCACCGAUUCCACUCUUUCUUAGUUUGUUUUGUUUUAUUGGAGUAAAAUUUUGAGUGUUUCUUCUUUGUCAUGGUUAGUAGAUGAAAUGUGAGGAUGGUGCGUGAUUGGUAAAAUAGUUUGGGAUGUGUUCAUUCGUUGUUGUUUGGCUUUCUCAUAGAAGAAUUGUUAUUGGUUUUUGAGAUGUCACUCAGAGUUGAAUAAUGAGCGUGUGAUUAGGUGGCUGCAAGCAGCAGGGAUUGAAUUUCUUUUGGUAUAACUGUCAUGCUUGUUUAAGGAUGAUUACAAAUAGCACAAUGUGGUUGUGGGUUUUGUGAAAUACCUGAUCGCUAGAUUGAGGAUGAAUGUUCUCGUUAGAGAUUUUAUUAUGAAACGAGACUCUGGCUUUUGGAAAUCAACAACUUGCAAUGAAGGCCU
Nymphaea colorata (pocket water lily) is the source of this 1092-nucleotide long non-coding RNA. RefSeq lists it as uncharacterized. NCBI's taxonomy places the organism in Eukaryota, Viridiplantae, Streptophyta, Magnoliopsida, Nymphaeales, Nymphaeaceae. The record is from RefSeq and is a predicted model, not a curated record. The transcript is spliced from 4 exons.